CGAACGCGAAAGUCCUUCGGGAUGAGUAGAGUGGCGGACGGGUGAGUAACGCGUAGGAAUCUAUCCUGUAGUGGGGGAUAACGUUUCGAAAGGAACGCUAAUACCGCAUACGCCCCAAGGGGGAAAGCGGGGGGAUCUUCGGACCUCGUGCUAUAGGAGGAGCCUGCGUCGGAUUAGCUAGUUGGUGAGGUAAAGGCUCACCAAGGCGACGAUCCGUAGCUGGUCUGAGAGGAUGAUCAGCCACACCGGAACUGAGACACGGUCCGGACUCCUACGGGAGGCAGCAGUGGGGAAUAUUGCGCAAUGGGCGAAAGCCUGACGCAGCCAUACCGCGUGUGUGAAGAAGGCCUUCGGGUUGUAAAGCACUUUCAGUGGGGAGGAAAAGCUGGUGGCUAAUAUCCAUCGGCCGUGACGCUACCCACAGAAGAAGCACCGGCUAAUUCCGUG
RNAcentral lists this ribosomal RNA (447 nucleotides) under uncultured bacterium. RNAcentral describes it as "bacterial SSU rRNA". It matches the Rfam family "Bacterial small subunit ribosomal RNA", at positions 63 to 507 of the family's 1533-position model. The record is from RNAcentral.